AGCAGCCGCGGUAAUUCCAGCUCCAAUAGCGUAUAUUAAAGUUGUUGCAGUUAAAAAGCUCGUAGUUGAAUUUCGGGAUCAAUACGUCGGUCGUGCUCCGGUACGUACUGGCGUCAUUGAUUUCUCCCUUCUGACGAACCACGAUGUCAUUAACUUGGUGUCAUGGGAAAUCAGGACUGUUACUUUGAAAAAAUUAGAGUGUUUAAAGCAGGCUCACGCUUGAAUACAUUAGCAUGGAAUAAUGAAAUAGGACGUUCGAUCCUAUUUUGUUGGUUUCUAGGAUCAACGUAAUGAUUAAUAGGGAUAGUUGGGGGCAUUAGUAUUCAAUUGUCAGAGGUGAAAUUCUUGGAUUUAUUGAAGACUAACUACUGCGAAAGCAUUUGCCAAGGAUGUUUUCAUUAAUCAAGAACGAAAGUUAGGGGAUCGAAGACGAUCAGAUACCGUCGUAGUCUUAACCAUAAACUAUGCCGACUAGGGAUCGGAUGAUGUUAAUUUUUUAAUGACUCAUUCGGCGCCUUACG
Molecule: ribosomal RNA, 521 nt
Filed under: uncultured Glomeraceae
Lineage: Eukaryota; Fungi; Glomeromycota; Glomeromycetes; Glomerales; Glomeraceae
Description: SSU rRNA
Rfam family: Eukaryotic small subunit ribosomal RNA
Source: RNAcentral